Molecule: ribosomal RNA, 119 nt
Filed under: Pteropus alecto (black flying fox)
Lineage: Eukaryota; Metazoa; Chordata; Mammalia; Chiroptera; Pteropodidae
Source: RNAcentral
AUCUAUGGCCAUGCCAUCUAGAAUGUGCCAGAUCUUGUCUGAUCUCAGAAGUUAAGCAGGGUUGGGCCUGGUUAAUACUUGGAUGGGAGACCACCUAGGAAGAACAGGUGCUAUUGGCA